This 253-nucleotide ribosomal RNA is filed under the name uncultured bacterium. Its description in RNAcentral is "partial 16S ribosomal RNA". It matches the Rfam family "Bacterial small subunit ribosomal RNA", at positions 524 to 776 of the family's 1533-position model. The record is from RNAcentral.
UACAGAGGGUGCGAGCGUUGUCCGGAAUCACUGGGCGUAAAGGGCGCGUAGGCGGCGCGGUAAGCGUGCGGUGAAAGCCCGGGGCUCAACCCCGGGUCGGCCGUGCGGACGGCCGGGCUGGAGCACUGUAGAGGCAGGUGGAAUUCCGGGUGUAGCGGUGGAAUGCGUAGAGAUCCGGAAGAACACCGGUGGCGAAGGCGGCCUGCUGGGCAGUAGCUGACGCUGAAGCGCGACAGCGUGGGGAGCAAACAGG